RNAcentral lists this ribosomal RNA (253 nucleotides) under uncultured bacterium. RNAcentral's name for it is "partial 16S ribosomal RNA". It matches the Rfam family "Bacterial small subunit ribosomal RNA", at positions 524 to 776 of the family's 1533-position model. The record is from RNAcentral.
GACAGAGGGUGCAAACGUUGUUCGGAAUCACUGGGCUUAAAGGGCGCGUAGGCGGCUGCGCAAGUCCGGGGUGAAAGCCUCCAGCUCAACUGGAGAAGUGCCUUGGAAACUGUGCAGCUCGAGCGAGGUAGGGGUGAUGGGAACUUCCGGUGGAGCGGUGAAAUGCGUUGAUAUCGGAAGGAACGCCGGUGGCGAAAGCGCAUCACUGGACCUCUCCUGACGCUGAGGCGCGAAAGCCAGGGGAGCAAACGGG